CGGUCUGAUCAAGCGUCUCUAAGGGCAUUUGGUGGAUGCCUUGGCGUUGAGAGGCGAUGAAGGACGUGACACGCUGCGAUAAGCCAUGGGGAGCUGCGAGUAAGCUUUGAUCCGUGGAUUUCCGAAUGGGGAAACCCGACCAUUUAGGUCAUCCUGCAAGGGAAGCGAACCCGGGGAACUGAAAUAUCUAAGUACCCGGAGGAAAGGACAUCAACCGAGACUCCGUUAGUAGUGACGAGCGAACGCGGACCAGGCCAGUGGCCUGAGAGAAGACAACCAGAAGUGUCUGGAAAGGCACGCCAUAGUGGGUGAUAGCCCCGUAUGGGUAAUGCUUCUCUCAGGUCCUCGAGUAGGGCGGGACACGUGAAAUCCUGUCUGAACACGGGGGGACCACCCUCCAAGCCUAAGUACUCCUCAACGACCGAUAGCGAACCAGUACCGUGAGGGAAAGGUGAAAAGCACCCCGAUGAGGGGAGUGAAAUAGACCUGAAACCGAAUGCCUACAAUCAGUCGGAGCCAUCUCGAGUGGUGACGGCGUACCUUUUGUAUAAUGGGUCAGCGAGUUACUUUGACGAGCAAGCCUAAGCCGUUAGGUGUAAGCGAAGCGAAAGCGAGUCUGAAUAGGGCGUAUAGUUCGUUGGAGUAGACCCGAAACCGGGUGAUCUAGCCAUGGGCAGGUUGAAGGUACGGUAACACGUACUGAAGGACCGAACCCACGUCUGUUGAAAAAGACGGGGAUGACCUGUGGCUAGGGGUGAAAGGCCAAUCAAACCCGGAGAUAGCUGGUUCUCUGCGAAAACUAUUUAGGUAGUGCGUCAUGUAUUACCGUCGGGGGUAGAGCACUGGAUGGGCUAGGGGGGCGCGAGCCUUACCAAACCUAACCAAACUCCGAAUACCGAUAAGUACAGCAUGGCAGACAGACUAUGGGUGCUAAGGUCCAUAGUCGAGAGGGAAACAGCCCAGACCUCCAGCUAAGGUCCCUAAAUUGUGGCUAAGUGGGAAAGGAUGUGGGAAGGCCAAGACAGCCAGGAGGUUGGCUUAGAAGCAGCCAUCCUUUAAAGAAAGCGUAACAGCUCACUGGUCUAGACAAGCCGGCCUGCGCCGAAGAUGUAACGGGGCUCAAGCCACAUACCGAAGCUGAGGACGUGAUUUAUCACGUGGUAGCAGAGCGUUCUGUAGGCCUGUGAAGCGUAACCGUGAGGUUGCGUGGAGGUAUCAGAAGUGAGAAUGCUGACAUGAGUAGCGACAAAGAGUGUGAGAAACACUCUCGCCGUAAGCCCAAGGGUUCCUGCGCAAGGCUAAUCCGCGCAGGGUGAGUCGGCCCCUAAGACGAGGGCGAAAGCCGUAGUCGAUGGGAAUCAGGUUAAUAUUCCUGAACCUGUUGGUAGUGACGGAUGACGUAAGUUGUACAUGCUUAUCGGAUUGUUGUGUGCAGCGAAGUUGUCCCAGGAAAUAGCUCCAACAUUAAGACCGUACCCCAAACCGACACAGGUGGGCAGGUAGAGCAUACCGAGGCGCUUGAGAGAACGAUGUUGAAGGAACUCGGCAAAUUGCCCCCGUAACUUCGGGAGAAGGGGGACCUCCGUUUAGGCAACUAGACGGGGGUGGCACAGACCAGGGGGUGGCGACUGUUUAUUAAAAACACAGGGCUCUGCGAAGUAGAUAAUACGACGUAUAGGGUCUGACGCCUGCCCGGUGCCGGAAGGUUAAAAGGAGGUGUGAGAGCUCCGAAUUGAAGCCCCGGUAAACGGCGGCCGUAACUAUAACGGUCCUAAGGUA
RNAcentral lists this ribosomal RNA (1779 nucleotides) under uncultured alpha proteobacterium HF0070_05I22. RNAcentral describes it as "bacterial LSU rRNA". It matches the Rfam family "Bacterial large subunit ribosomal RNA", at positions 1 to 1958 of the family's 2925-position model. The record is from RNAcentral. Lineage: Bacteria; Pseudomonadati; Pseudomonadota; Alphaproteobacteria.